AGGGAAGAUCACAUGGGUAGAGGGCGAAGUGAAAAGAGCAAAGAGAAGAAUCCAAAGGUGCACGUGACUGACCACAACCCGACCCAACUCUUUGCAUUAAACCAACUAAUCAUGAUCCUGCCACGUAGACACGUUUGUAUUUUCGGACCCCACGCGCCUUCCUUUAUCGUGCAAUCACUCACCUCAUCAUUGCUUAAUUUCUG
This 203-nucleotide long non-coding RNA is filed under the name Carica papaya (papaya). RNAcentral describes it as "long non-coding RNA (CPAP_LNC007376)". Lineage: Eukaryota; Viridiplantae; Streptophyta; Magnoliopsida; Brassicales; Caricaceae. The record is from RNAcentral.